Molecule: ribosomal RNA, 305 nt
Filed under: uncultured bacterium
Lineage: Bacteria
Description: partial 16S ribosomal RNA
Rfam family: Bacterial small subunit ribosomal RNA
Source: RNAcentral
ACAGCAGUAGCCGCGGUAAUACGUAGGUGGCAAGCGUUGUCCGGAAUUAUUGGGCGUAAAGGGCUCGCAGGCGGUUUCUUAAGUCUGAUGUGAAAGCCCCCGGCUCAACCGGGGAGGGUCAUUGGAAACUGGGAAACUUGAGUGCAGAAGAGGAGAGUGGAAUUCCACGUGUAGCGGUGAAAUGCGUAGAGAUGUGGAGGAACACCAGUGGCGAAGGCGACUCUCUGGUCUGUAACUGACGCUGAGGAGCGAAAGCGUGGGGAGCGAACAGGAUUAGAGACCCCAGUAGUCCCUGUCUCUUAUAA